AGAACGAACGCUGGCGGCAGGCCUAACACAUGCAAGUCGAACGCUCGUAGCAAUACGGGAGUGGCAGACGGGUGAGUAACGCGUGGGAACCUUCCCAGUGGUACGGAAUAGCUCAGGGGAAACUUGAGGUAAUACCGUAUACGCCCCUAGGGGGAAAGAUUUAUCGCCAUUGGAUGGGUCCCGCGUCGGAUUAGCUAGUUGGUGAGGUAACGGCUCACCAAGGCGACGAUCCGUAGCUGGUUUGAGAGAAUGACCAGCCACACUGGGACUGAGACACGGCCCAGACUCCUACGGGAGGCAGCAGUGGGGAAUCUUGGACAAUGGGCGCAAGCCUGAUCCAGCCAUGCCGCGUGAGUGACGAAGGCCUUAGGGUUGUAAAGCUCUUUUGCCGGGACGAUAAUGACGGUACCGGAGAAUAAGUCCGGCUAACUUCGUGCCAGCAGCCGC
RNAcentral lists this ribosomal RNA (447 nucleotides) under uncultured bacterium. RNAcentral describes it as "SSU rRNA". It matches the Rfam family "Bacterial small subunit ribosomal RNA", at positions 26 to 518 of the family's 1533-position model. The record is from RNAcentral.